GACGAACGCUGGCGGCGUGCUUAACACAUGCAAGUCGAACGGAGUGGCGAACGGGUGAGUAACACGUGGGUGAUCUGCCUUGUACUUCGGGAUAAGCUUGGGAAACUGGGUCUAAUACCGGAUAGUGCAAGAUGAGCUCGCGGCCUAUCAGCUUGUUGGUGGGGUAAUGGCCUACCAAGGCGUCGACGGGUAUCCGGCCUGAGAGGGUGUACGGCCAAAUUGGGACGAAGAUACAGACAGGACACCUACGGGAGGCAGGAGGGGGGAAUAUUGCACAAUGGGCGGAGGCGUGAUGCAGGGACGCCGGGUGGGGGAUGAAGGCCUUUGGGUUGUAAACUCCUUUCUAUAGUGACGCGGUACCUGUAUAAGAAGCACCGGCUAACUACGUGCCAGCAGCCGCGGUAAUUC
RNAcentral lists this ribosomal RNA (408 nucleotides) under uncultured bacterium. RNAcentral's name for it is "partial 16S ribosomal RNA". It matches the Rfam family "Bacterial small subunit ribosomal RNA", at positions 28 to 526 of the family's 1533-position model. The record is from RNAcentral.